RNAcentral lists this ribozyme (80 nucleotides) under Crocodylus porosus (Australian saltwater crocodile). RNAcentral describes it as "Mammalian CPEB3 ribozyme (ENSCPRG00005009078.1)". It matches the Rfam family "Mammalian CPEB3 ribozyme". Rfam says of the family: The mammalian CPEB3 ribozyme is a self cleaving RNA located in the second intron of the CPEB3 gene which belongs to a family of genes regulating messenger RNA polyadenylation. This ribozyme is highly conserved and found only in mammals. There is currently only one other known self cleaving ribozyme in mammals, the CoTC motif. Lineage: Eukaryota; Metazoa; Chordata; Crocodylia; Crocodylidae. The record is from Rfam by way of RNAcentral.
AGAGGUUGCAAGAUCGAAGCCAUAGCAGAUGCGCACACAGCACAGCCCUGUCAGAUUGUAAUGAAUCUGCGAACUCUGCA